AAUGGGAAGCGAUUCCUGUGGGCCACCGAGAAGGGCUGAGCUCAAACACUUGCCUUUGGAGGUCCUUGUGCCCUGGAAAGUCACUGCCUUCGGAUGGCCACUGUCACUCAGCCAGGAGGCAAAGCACAUAUUUUGGCACAGCUAUUAUGACACAGAUAUCAAAGAAGUUCUAUAAUAAAAUAAUAAUCUUUAGAAGACUUACUAUGUGCCAAGCACUCUGCUACCUGCUUUACAGGAAUUAUUUAAUUCUCACAACAGCCUUCUGAGGACCUCGGAAAGUAUUCCUGGGGAAGCCCACUCUGCCCCAUGCCCCCCAUCACAAGCCAUCCAUCCCUGACCUCUGUGACUCCAGCUCAUCCUUUGACGCUGUGACAAUGCUGGGGAAGGAGCUCCUGCUCUUCAAGGACCGCACAGAGAGAAAGUAACAAAGUAUUUUUUAAAAAGCAAAAUUUACCCAGAAUCCCACCACCUGGAGUGUAUCAGUCUGCAGGAGCUGCUAUAACCAAGUACCAUAGACCAGGUGGCUUAGACAACAGAAAUGUAUUCCUCACAGUUUUGGAGGGUAAGAAGUUCAAGAUCAAGGUACUGCAAGGAUUUUCUGGAGACGGCAGGUUCACUUGCGGACAGGAAUUCGGCCCAGCACUAUUACCAGCUCCUUCCCC
RNAcentral lists this long non-coding RNA (662 nucleotides) under Homo sapiens (human). Its description in RNAcentral is "non-protein coding lnc-MMP7-2:1". Lineage: Eukaryota; Metazoa; Chordata; Mammalia; Primates; Hominidae. The record is from RNAcentral.